Molecule: ribosomal RNA, 495 nt
Filed under: uncultured bacterium
Lineage: Bacteria
Description: partial 16S ribosomal RNA
Rfam family: Bacterial small subunit ribosomal RNA
Source: RNAcentral
GACGAACGCUGGCGGCGUGCCUAAUACAUGCAAGUAGAACGCUGAAGGAGGAGCUUGCUCUUCUGGAUGAGUUGCGAACGGGUGAGUAACGCGUAGGUAACCUGCCUGGUAGCGGGGGAUAACUAUUGGAAACGAUAGCUAAUACCGCAUAAGAGUAGAUGUUGCAUGACAUUUACUUAAAAGGUGCAAUUGCAUCACUACCAGAUGGACCUGCGUUGUAUUAGCUAGUUGGUGGGGUAACGGCUUACCAAGGCGACGAUACAUAGCCGACCUGAGAGGGUGAUCGGCCACACUGGGACUGAGACACGGCCCAGACUCCUACGGGAGGCAGCAGUAGGGAAUCUUCGGCAAUAGACGGAAGUCUGACCGAGCAACGCCGCGGGAGUGAAGAAGGUUUUCGGAUCGUAAAGCUCUGUUGUAAGAGAAGAACGAGUGUGAGAGUGGAAAGUUCACACUGUGACGGUAUCUUACCAGAAAGGGACGGCUAACUACGUG